This 1606-nucleotide long non-coding RNA is filed under the name Mus musculus (house mouse). RNAcentral's name for it is "RIKEN cDNA 2310043M15 gene". The record is from RNAcentral. Lineage: Eukaryota; Metazoa; Chordata; Mammalia; Rodentia; Muridae.
GAAUCAGUCUGUCUAGCUGGGUCCCUAGGACCACACGGGUUGGGACUCAGAUCAGUGUCUUGCUUAGCCAUCCUCAGGGAAGCUGCUUCUUGCGGUAGAAGGGAACUACUCAGGGGACCCACAGCUGAGCAGUGACUCUGGAACACUCCAUCCUAAAUGGUGGCGUCUUCAUCGACAUCUUCAGAGACAACAGGAACCACGCACAUCAGAGACGGGCAGCACAGGCCCAAGCAAGAUGGGGUCUCAGCACCGAGGAGGAACUGAACACAGCCUCCCUGCCCACCCAAACACAGGCUUUCCAGCUGAUCCACACUCCCAUGUGAAGGACGUGUUUAUUGAUGUUGGAUAUCCUAUCGUGGCUAUGGAACCCAGCCUGGUCAGUGUGCCCUAAAUCAGGUUAUCACCUUCUGCUCUGCUCUCCUGCUUACCCAGAGCACACUGGAAUAGAAGCACGGUUGUCCACAGCGUCCUCAGAGCCUUGGCUGAAGCAGGCGUUUCUUCCCACCCCUCCUCCACUUACUGUGCACGUCGUCCUCGGCAUCUGACUCUUCCAGAGAGACCUGAGGUUGGGCUUUCACCUCCAGAUUUCUGCUGAGCCAGCUUGUUUGUUCCAAGGAGGAGCCAGCGAUGGUACCUACAGCUUCCAGGAUUCUCUGAGUGAUUUCCUGGAGAGCCAGCAGAAGCAAGACUUAAUUAAGGAGAAGAAAAGAGCCGGUGCAUACCACUGUCUGACAGGUACAGGGCACGGGCCACCGCGUGAGUCACCGUGGCACCAGUAGACUUUCAAUGAGCCACGCUGAGAGGCGAAAAGCAGCUGGGGUGACAGAUUUUAGUAACAGGUUCUCUACCUACAAAUAUUCCAAUAUAAACAUCAGCAUCACACUCUGCAGCUGUCUCCUACCCUGGCUGGCUUUGGACUCCUGUGGGUACUGCAUGCUUACAACGACCAGGAUCUUCUCUCAGCACGUGGUAUUGUGGCUCUGCUCUCUACCAGCCGACGGGUAAAGUCUGCAGGACUGAUGGGAAAGGCCGGCUUUCUGGUUCUCCUGGAUUGUGGUUCAUGCUGGUAUGAACUAAACACUACAGGACACCACUGUUACUAAGCUGCUGGACUUGAGACUUUACAAAGUUUCGUGGACUGCCAGGCCACACCAACAGUCGGCCGAGUCACUCGUGCUGACUCCGUGUACACUGGCAGGGUGGCGAAGCUCCUUCUGCCUUGAUCCUCACAUAGAAGCAAGACAACAUGGACUAUCCUGCUGCUGCCUGCCUGCCUGCCCUCCGCUCCCGAGAAGCAGAGCCUGGGGGGCAGAUUUAUCCUUUAGUCUUGUUCCCCUCAGCCUGUCUCUGUCUGCAGAACCGGUGGCCUCUGCUGAGCUCACCAGAACACUUACUACUUACUCUCUUUUAUGGGAUGAAGCAUGGCCUUAUUCUAGACUCACAGUAGAGCCAGUCAAGAUCUUUAUAAACAGUGCUGCGUGCUGUUGUGCAUGACUGAAACGCCAACACUUGGUAGGCAGGGAGAGGGAGCGUUCAGCCAGGGCUAUACAGAGAGACUGUAUCUUAAACAAAGAUAUCGUUAAAAUAAAUUGCUGUAGUUUUGCUA